This 413-nucleotide ribosomal RNA is filed under the name uncultured microorganism. RNAcentral's name for it is "bacterial SSU rRNA". It matches the Rfam family "Archaeal small subunit ribosomal RNA", at positions 330 to 745 of the family's 1478-position model. The record is from RNAcentral.
GUGCACCAGUCGAGAAACCUCCGCAAUACACGAAAGUGUGACGGGGCCAUCCCGAGUGCCGUCCGCUGAGGACGGCUUUUCCCCAGUGUACACAGCUGGGGGAAUAAGGAGAGGGCAAGCCUGGUGUCAGCCGCCGCGGUAAUACCAGCUCUCCGAGUGGUGGGGACGCUUAUUGGGCCUAAAGCAUCCGUAGCCGGCUGGGCAAGUCCUCCGUUAAAUCCAACGAUUCAAUCGUUGGGCUGCGGGGGAUACUGUCCAGCUUGGGGGCGGGAGAGGCCGACGGUAUUCCCGGGGUAGGGGUGAAAUCCUAUAAUCCCGGGAGGACCACCAGUGGCGAAGGCUGUCGGCUAGAACGCGCCCGACGGUGAGGGAUGAAAGCUGGGGGAGCGAACCGGAUUAGAUACCCCUGUAGU